UUGUCCGGUUGGAGGUCGUCGUCCUCAACGCCCUCUCUCUAUCUUUCACAUUUGGCGCUCGAGCGUCUUGGUCUUCCAGCGGGCGCGACGGUUCUGGAACCAGACGACGACCUGACGCGGCUGCAGGGCGAGGUCGCGCGCGAUGAGGUCGCCGCGCGCCCGCCGGCCACUGCCAGGGCCAGCUUGUCCUCGUCCUCGUUCAUCUCGGCCUCGUCGUCGGGCUCCAUCUUCCGCGCCGGCAGGGCCUCUUCCACCGCGAACGUCAGCUUCUCCCCUGCAAUAGGCGUUCUCCCUGCUCCAGUAAGAGUAGGCGAGGACGAGCCUCCCCCAUCCUGGGUGUUGGUGCCUGACCCAUUUUCUCAAGAUAAGAUGUUCAGAGGUUCUCCUAAGAUAGUAGCUUUAUCUAAAGCUGCUCAAAAGAAGGCUUCUCCUAAAGCUGCAACAACAAAGAAAUGUGGCGGUGCACCAACUGUCAAUCAAGAGAAGGAGACAAAAAGAGUGAGGAAAGAUGCACUAGAAGGGCUGAUAGGGAGGUACCUUGAUGUGAAAACGAAGCAAGUUGCAGAUGAGGCUGCACAAUCAGCAAAAGUAAAGGAUGUUGCUCAAGAUAAUGAUUUUUCUAUCAAGAGGUGUAUUUCUGUUCUUAAGACUAUGGAUAUGACAAGAGAUGAGAAGGUCAAAGCAGCUGAGGUGUUCAACAUACCAAAUUACAGGGAAACAUUUAUUUGUUUCAAUGAUGAUGAGCCAGAAGUCGCUCUCCUUUGGCUAAGAGGGAAGAUGGAUAAACUCUAA
RNAcentral lists this unclassified non-coding RNA (792 nucleotides) under Zea mays. Its description in RNAcentral is "misc RNA Zm00001eb303590". Lineage: Eukaryota; Viridiplantae; Streptophyta; Magnoliopsida; Poales; Poaceae. The record is from RNAcentral.